UGACUAGAGAUAUCUGUGGCCAGAAUAUUGUCUUUGCCUUUUUGCUACGACGAAGUACUCUUUGGUUCAGUCCUUGAGCGCCAUCUUGCGUGAUUGGUCCCCUUUAAUGUUAUUCAAAACGUUGGGCUGGGAAGUAAGGGCAGCUAUGCCUCAUUCAUCACUGUGGUUGCCAUUAGCACUGGCUUAUCUAUUUUUAGCUAGUGCGCUGCCAGCAAAUGCUCAAAGUAAGUCUUAUUUUUAUUUAAUAAAUAACUAAUUAUAUGUGAUUUAUAGAUAUGCGGAUAAAGAUAUCAAUUCGGUUAAUGGUUGACCUAAUUUUCGAGGUCCUUGCUUCAUUCUCCGCCCAGUUAUAUUGGGUGAUGUCAUACUGUGAUCGAUUGGAAUUGAAACAUUGAUCAUUUGUAACAGCAUACAGCAUACAGCAUUAAGGAGCCACUUUAAUUGUUUGUAAUUAAUAACUUUUUGUUUGUCAAUUUAAGUUUUAUUAUUUUUUUAUAGAUCU
Papilio polytes (common Mormon) is the source of this 502-nucleotide long non-coding RNA. RefSeq lists it as uncharacterized. The transcript is spliced from 2 exons. The record is from RefSeq and is a predicted model, not a curated record. Lineage: Eukaryota; Metazoa; Arthropoda; Insecta; Lepidoptera; Papilionidae.